RNAcentral lists this long non-coding RNA (323 nucleotides) under Hordeum vulgare. RNAcentral describes it as "long non-coding RNA (HVUL_LNC020254)". Lineage: Eukaryota; Viridiplantae; Streptophyta; Magnoliopsida; Poales; Poaceae. The record is from RNAcentral.
GCAUGUUGUUUUUAAAGAUCAGUCUACGGCUCAUCUAAAUGUUGUUGUUGUUGUUGUUGCCUUCUUUUCAUCUUGUGUUAUUGGGUCUUUGUGUUACUGCUCAUCUAUUCGACGCAGAAACUUGAACUUGGAUGCCAUCAUAGAGGGGCUGCCUGCCGUGCGUUCAUAUCUCAUGGCCUCCCUCACUUUCUUCAGCAGCUUAGGCAAGUCGAUUUCCAAUACCUCGAGGACAAAAUUGCUAAUAAACUUGUGUGCCUUGGGAGGGCAUUCACAUCACCUCGGUCAACACUUAUCAGGUCAUACACCACCACCGCUGAUGCCCN